AUACUUACCUGGCAGGGGAGAUACCAUGAUCACGAAGGUGGUUUUCCUAGGGCGAGGCUUCUCCAUUGCACUUAGGAUGUGCUGAUCCCAGCGAUUUCCCCAAAUGCGGGAAACUCACUACGGAAUUCGUGGUAAUGGGGGAUUGCGCUUUCCCCUG
Jaculus jaculus (lesser Egyptian jerboa) is the source of this 157-nucleotide small nuclear RNA. Its record names the gene U1. It matches the Rfam family "U1 spliceosomal RNA". From Rfam's summary of the family: U1 is a small nuclear RNA (snRNA) component of the spliceosome (involved in pre-mRNA splicing). Its 5' end forms complementary base pairs with the 5' splice junction, thus defining the 5' donor site of an intron. Lineage: Eukaryota; Metazoa; Chordata; Mammalia; Rodentia; Dipodidae. The record is from Ensembl.